Molecule: ribosomal RNA, 285 nt
Filed under: Triticum aestivum (bread wheat)
Lineage: Eukaryota; Viridiplantae; Streptophyta; Magnoliopsida; Poales; Poaceae
Description: partial small subunit ribosomal RNA
Source: RNAcentral
AUGGAUGUGUUUUUCCUCAUUUUGCUAUAUGCGUUCUUAUUCAAAAUUCUUAGAUCAGCCCCGUGGUUGAAAUUGCUGAAAACGCUUUAUUUUGCUUUAGUUGGAUCGUACAGGUUAAAUAAUGUUCUGGUAUUGCAAAUUGUUGUUUUAAAGGAGAAGCUUCUAGCUCUGGGUUCAUCCAAAAAAAUUAGCAGAGCACAACAGUUUCAAGAGCAGUAUUUGAGGGGUAGAAUUUUGUAUUUCCAUUUACUACGCCACCAUACUUUCUUAGGUGUUUUUCGGUGA